AGGGAUUGAAUUUGUGGCCAUGGACAGCAUGGCACUGAUAAUACAAGAAGAAUGGGACACCUUUGGUGGAUGUGGAGCGGAAGGAACACUGAAGCCACAGUGGAAGAAAUCCAUGGACCACAGUUUGAAAGCCGCUGAACUAAGAGUCAAGGUGGAUGGAUGUGGCAGAUGGAAGAUGCUUCCUCCAUUUCACUUGAACUAAGAAGAUUUUGGGUGUGCACUUCUGGAACUAAAGGUCUGAUACUCGCAUGACAGAAAUGGACCAUCUAGCUGGAAAGAUUCAGUACCACUCAUACAAGGUUUCAACUACACAAAGACUCUCAGGAAAAUGGUAUCCAAUUAUGAUAUUUGAGAACUGCUUCACAUCUCUAAGGGCAGUACUAUUGGAAUUUAAAAGCUUUUAAUUCAGUUUAGCUUGAAUGGUCUUGGGAAGUGAAAGAAGCAAAAUAAAUGUUAGCCUUUUCUCAUUCUACAUAAUAGUGUCUGUACAGGAUGUAACACAGGGACUACCAUAGUUCACUUUUAGUUCAUAUUUUUAAUUCAUUCAGACUUUUAUUUUUUUUUUUUACUGUUUGAGUUCAGAUAAGUCCUGGGAGGCCAACCAGAGGCACCAGCUUUAUUUGAAGAAGGACAUAAAAGUCCAUGACUAGUCCAUGAUUUAGGAUAACCUGCUACAAUUACUAGUGCUACAUUGGCUAGUAUAAAGAUGCAAGUGAUUUCUCUAGAGUUUAUUUUGUAAAUUCUGUAAAUUUCACUGCUGGUGAGUAAUGAAUAUUUUCAAAUAAAUCUUAUCUUCAAUAAAUCUUAUUUUCCUUCUCUCAGUCUCAUAGUGUAACAGGAUAGAGCUUAUGAAGACAUGAAGCAAUUUCUGAACAGCAGCUCUUUAAAAUUUAAACACAUCUACUAGGAUGCAUACUGGACACAGGCUCAUUUUCAGGAAACUCUUCAUAGCAUUGUUUCCAGACCCAUUUACACACUGGAAUCCUCCAUGCACAGACAGCAAUUUUAAGGGCGUAUGCUGCCCAGCAACUGAAAUAGAAUACAUUCAAGCUCCUGCUCCAUUU
Molecule: long non-coding RNA, 1064 nt
Organism: Columba livia (rock pigeon)
Lineage: Eukaryota; Metazoa; Chordata; Aves; Columbiformes; Columbidae
Exons: 3
Source: RefSeq, a predicted model, not a curated record